This 318-nucleotide long non-coding RNA is filed under the name Phascolarctos cinereus (koala). RNAcentral's name for it is "lncRNA (ENSPCIG00000036639.1)". The record is from RNAcentral. Lineage: Eukaryota; Metazoa; Chordata; Mammalia; Diprotodontia; Phascolarctidae.
ACUUCUUUCUUCUCCAUUUUCAGUGGAGUCCUCCAGUAGGCCCUCCUUAACAUAUAUUAUAAUGGGGGGAGUUGAUUAGACUUAGAACCAGCUGAUCUUUAUUCAUUAUUUUUAGGAACUCUAGACUCCUCAUCUGAGCAAGGCCAUGACGACAGAGAUAACAAAGACUCUGCAGAACUUUCUGGGAAAAUGCUACAAACCACAGAGCAAGAAGAUAAGUCCAGAGUCAUCAGGGAAGAUGAGGUUACUUUGACACGCACAGUAGGAGUACAGGAGGAAACUGUGACCUGUUCCAGAGAGGGCCGUGCAGCUUGCUAA